CCUACGGGAGGCAGCAGUGGGGGAUAUUGCACAAUGGGGGGAACCCUGAUGCAGCGACGCCGCGUGGGUGAAGGAGCGUUUCGGCGCGUAAAGCCCUAUCGGCAGGGAAGAAGGAGGACGGUACCUGACUAAGAAGCCCCGGCUAACUACGUGCCAGCAGCCGCGGUAAUACGGAGGGGGCAAGCGUUAUCCGGAUUUACUGGGGGUAAAGGGGGCGCAGACGGCAGCGCAAGCCAGGAGUGAAAGCCCGGGGCCCAACCCCGGGACUGCUUUUGGAACUGCGCGGCUGGAGUGCAGGAGGGGCAGGCGGAAUUCCGGGUGUAGCGGUGAAAUGCGUAGAUAUCAGGAGGAACACCGGUGGCGAAGGCGGACUGCUGGACUGCGACUGACGUUGAGGCCCGAAAGCGUGGGGAGCAAACAGGAUUAGAUACCCCAGUAGUC
Molecule: ribosomal RNA, 441 nt
Filed under: uncultured bacterium
Lineage: Bacteria
Description: partial 16S ribosomal RNA
Rfam family: Bacterial small subunit ribosomal RNA
Source: RNAcentral